AAGUCGUAACAAGGUAACCGUAGGUGAACCUGCGGUUGGAUCAAUAAUGAAAUGUUUCUAACACUGAGAGGUCUCGAGUAUGGCUCUCAAAAGGAGCCUGCUCUUGGUCUCUUUACACCCAUACCUGUUGAACUGUUAUUGAAUGGACUUGACAACUUGGCGCAAGCCAAGAAACUCAAGUUCCAACCCAUUAUAAACAUACAAAGACCUUUUUUUGAAAAGGAGAUGAACCGCGGACUUUGCGUCCAAGGGAAAUUGACUCAUUUAAAGAAAAACAACUUUUGACAACGGAUCUCUUGGCUCUC
Molecule: unclassified non-coding RNA, 305 nt
Filed under: fungal sp.
Lineage: Eukaryota; Fungi
Description: partial internal transcribed spacer region
Rfam family: Eukaryotic small subunit ribosomal RNA (bases 1-46)
Source: RNAcentral